This 1098-nucleotide long non-coding RNA is filed under the name Equus asinus (donkey). Its description in RNAcentral is "lncRNA (ENSEASG00005024659.1)". The record is from RNAcentral. Lineage: Eukaryota; Metazoa; Chordata; Mammalia; Perissodactyla; Equidae.
GGAAGCGCCGUCACCCGGAGGGGCGUGUUGGAGAAGGUUUCGCGGGCCCAAGCGGGGGAGGGGGGACCGUUAAAGCGCUGCACCGCGCCCACAGGAAGCUGCUUUAAUGGUUAGGCCUACUCGGUACCAGGCUCUCGGCUGGGAAGGACCUUGAAGACCAUGCGGUUCAACUUCCAAUUUGCAGAUGUGGAAACUGAAGCCCAGAGAGGGUCCUUCCAGUUGUGGCAUAUGGGACGCUGCCUCAGCGUGGUUUGACGAGCAGUGCCAUGUCCGCGCCCAGGAUUCGAACCAAUGAAACACUGGGCCGCCUGCAGCGGAGCGCACGAACUUAACCACUCGGCCACAGGGCCAGCCCCUCAGUGCUAAUCGGGAUAAUUCUUCAGCCAUGAGCAGCUCAGAGGAGUGUCAUGUUUUUUGGAAUGGUGGCAGCUUCUACCAGGGCUGACCUAGGAGAUGCUGGGCCCAAGUCUGGCUGGAAGAAAUCACGGGGAGAGAAUGUCUUAGCAGUUCUGCUCCGGUGGGUUUGAGAAAGAGGCGGAAGACUGACCUUUUCUGAAGGCGGCGUUGGAGAGUCGGUGUGGCCUUGAGAAAUACACACGGCCAGAAAUGGUGUGAUCCUGCUCCAAACAGCUGGGCUCACCCUUGGGCUUCAUGAACCUCACACAGGAGGUUUCAACUGAAGUAAACUUAUGACCUUUCCAUCAGUUCCCUUGAUAGAGUCUGUGCACUCUGUGAUCACUGUAAGAAUGAAGGAUGAGCCCGCACUUCUUUCCACUCGUAAAGGCCACAGCAUUAGCUUCAUCCUACCACACCGCUUCACAUUCUUCCGACUUUCAAGAGCUCCACUGAUGGAAGAGGGAACUGACCCGUGAGGAAAGCAACAGUCAUCUCAUCCAUCCUCAUUCAUCUCAAAUAUGUUAAAUGUUUGGUACUUUUUCUUAUAAACUGUUUCUCUCCAUCAUCUUGUAUUCUAUGUUCUUGUCUUGAGACUUCUCCCAUUAAACCAUCAUUUAGUAUACUGUUUUCUUCGUCUCAACUUCUUCAGAAGUCUAAUAAGCACCAAGAAGAGAGUAUCCAUAAGAUUAGUAUUUCAACCCC